GUGAUUCUCCUGCCUCAGUCUCCUGAGUACCUGGGACUACAGGAUUAAAAACGAAUUGCUUUGGGUCAACAGAGGAUGAAGAAACUUAUUUUGACUGAAGUUACUAGAUGAGAUACGGCUAUGACAACUUUAGAGGAGGCAGAGUCUCACUCUGUCACCCAGGCUGGAGUGCAGUGGUACAAUCAUAGCUUACAGCAGCUUUGAAUUCCUGGGCUCCAGUGAUCUACCCUCCUCAACCUCCUGAGCAACUGGAACUUGAGGUUCGUGCUGCCACACCCAGCUAAUUAAAAAAAAAAAGUUUUUU
RNAcentral lists this long non-coding RNA (304 nucleotides) under Callithrix jacchus (white-tufted-ear marmoset). Its description in RNAcentral is "lncRNA (ENSCJAG00000080827.1)". The record is from RNAcentral. Lineage: Eukaryota; Metazoa; Chordata; Mammalia; Primates; Cebidae.